Molecule: ribosomal RNA, 374 nt
Filed under: Meloidogyne haplanaria
Lineage: Eukaryota; Metazoa; Nematoda; Chromadorea; Rhabditida; Meloidogynidae
Description: partial 16S ribosomal RNA
Source: RNAcentral
UUUUAUUUUAAGAUUAUUUUUUAUUGUUGAAAAAAUUAAAAAUAAAUUGUUUAAAACAAAAAUUAAAAUUUAUAAUAUUUCUGUUUUUUAUUUUUAGUUAAAAAUAAAAAUAAUAAAUAUGAAAAAUAGAAAAAUUUUGUUAUAAAUUAAAUUGGUUUUUUAAAAUUAAAAAUAUUUUUUAUAAAUUUAUUUUUUUUUAUUUUUUUAGAAAAAAAAAAAUUUAAUUAUUAUUAUUGAAAUUAAUUUAAUUAUUUAGUAAAAAAUUUUAUAUUAAAUAAAUUAAAUAAUAAAUGUUUUUUAAAUUCUUUGGGGAUUUAUUUUUUGAUUUUUUAUUUCUGCUCAUUGUUAAAGAAAAGCACUUUUAGCGUGAUUGG